This 798-nucleotide ribosomal RNA is filed under the name Nocardiopsis sp. D18. Its description in RNAcentral is "bacterial SSU rRNA". It matches the Rfam family "Bacterial small subunit ribosomal RNA", at positions 48 to 849 of the family's 1533-position model. Lineage: Bacteria; Bacillati; Actinomycetota; Actinomycetes; Streptosporangiales; Nocardiopsidaceae. The record is from RNAcentral.
CUUACACAUGCAAGUCGAGCGGUAAGGCCCUUCGGGGUACACGAGCGGCGAACGGGUGAGUAACACGUGAGCAACCUGCCCCUGACUCNGGGAUAAGCGGUGGAAACGCCGUCUAAUACCGGAUACGACCCGCCACCUCAUGGUGGAGGGUGGAAAGUUUUUCGGUCAGGGAUGGGCUCGCGGCCUAUCAGCUUGUUGGUGGGGUAACGGCCUACCAAGGCGAUUACGGGUAGCCGGCCUGAGAGGGCGACCGGCCACACUGGGACUGAGACACGGCCCAGACUCCUGCGGGAGGCAGCAGUGGGGAAUAUUGCGCAAUGGGCGAAAGCCUGACGCAGCGACGCCGCGUGGGGGAUGACGGCCUUCGGGUUGUAAACCUCUUUUACCACCAACGCAGGCUCGAAGUUCUCUUCGGGUUGACGGUAGGUGGGGAAUAAGGACCGGCUAACUACGUGCCAGCAGCCGCGGUAAUACGUAGGGUCCGAGCGUUGUCCGGAAUUAUUGGGCGUAAAGAGCUCGUAGGCGGCGUGUCGCGUCUGCUGUGAAAGACCGGGGCUUAACUCCGGUUCUGCAGUGGAUACGGGCAUGCUAGAGGUAGGUAGGGGAGACUGGAAUUCCUGGUGUAGCGGUGAAAUGCGCAGAUAUCAGGAGGAACACCGGUGGCGAAGGCGGGUCUCUGGGCCUUACCUGACGCUGAGGAGCGAAAGCAUGGGGAGCGAACAGGAUUAGAUACCCUGGUAGUCCAUGCCGUAAACGUUGGGCGCUAGGUGUGGGGACUUUCCACGGUUUCCGCGCCGU